Rhea pennata is the source of this 2717-nucleotide RNA transcript. It is a transcript of the gene named adaptor related protein complex 1 subunit sigma 2, with no coding region annotated. The record is from RefSeq and is a predicted model, not a curated record. Lineage: Eukaryota; Metazoa; Chordata; Aves; Rheiformes; Rheidae. The transcript is spliced from 6 exons.
GGCGGCGUCUCCCUUCCCCUCCCCUCCCCUCCCCUCCCCUCCCCUCAGUCCCGCUCGGCAGCCGUGGCGGCAGCACCAGCCUCGGUAGCGGUGCCGCGUCCUCCUCCUCGUCCUUUCCCCGCGCCCCGGGGCACGAUGCAGUUUAUGUUGCUUUUUAGUCGUCAGGGGAAACUGAGACUUCAGAAGUGGUAUGUCCCAUUAUCUGACAAAGAAAAGAAGAAAAUCACAAGGGAACUUGUUCAAACAGUAUUAGCCCGCAAACCGAAAAUGUGCAGCUUCCUGGAAUGGAGAGACCUGAAGAUUGUCUACAAAAGAUACGCAAGCCUUUAUUUCUGCUGUGCUAUUGAAGAUCAGGACAAUGAACUAAUAACUCUGGAAAUAAUUCACCGCUACGUGGAACUUCUUGACAAGUAUUUUGGCAGUGUAUGUGAACUUGAUAUCAUCUUCAAUUUUGAAAAAGCCUAUUUCAUUCUGGAUGAAUUCCUUUUGGGAGGGGAAGUUCAAGAGACUUCCAAGAAAAAUGUUCUUAAAGCUAUUGAGCAGGCAGAUCUUUUACAGGAGAGCCAGAAUGAAGACUGGGGAGGUUUGUCUGAGGAUAUCUUAUGAUUAAGAGCAAUCUAAGGCAUUAGCCCUUUUGACCCCCAUCUAAAUGAUUGGAAGCAGAGACCCCACGUAGUGUACUGGAAGAAAUUGGAUUGACAUAAAUCUUCUCAUCAGCUGAUGACAUCUCAGUGUUUCAUACUAUAAAUGUUCACUGCCUUCAUUGUAAUGUUUAGCUAAUGGUGUAAAAUGCUGUUUGUCAGUAUUACUGUUUUGCUAAGCUGCUUCAUUCAGGCCUCCAAGAAAAAUACACUUCAAAAAGGGAACAGAAAUUAAAGUCUAAAAAUCAUAAAUGAAAGGGAAAUAGAGUUAAAUUAAUUUAAUAUCUUUUUUCAUUGCAUUUACAGGAUAAUUGCAUUUGAUUUAAAUAGUGUACUGUUUUUUAUAAGCAAAUGACUUCAGGAACUAAAUUCAUUGUGACUUAGCAUAUCUAAAUGAAAAGAGACUACAUGGAUAACUUUAAAAUUUAAAAUGUUACAGUGUAGAACUUGUGUUUAUACAACCAAAGACUUCUGUUCAUCUACAUUUUAAGUCAACACUUGCGAUAAUUCUACUUUGUUUCGGUUGAUACAUAAAGAUUGGAAAUAACUGUUUACUACUGAAUUUGUCAUUAUACCAAAGAAUCCUGUUAGGAUCUGCUUGUCAAACUGGUAAAAACUGUUAAGGUGACAUCGGUUUUAACAAGAAAACUGCAAACUGAUCAUUCAGGAGAAAUUAAAGUGUAAUCAUCUUGAGUAAAACUGUGCAAGUUAUUAUAUGAUAAAGGGGAGCCAUCUAGUAAAAAAUAGUAUCCUUCCAAAUAAGGAAACUUUUGAAAUCUUAUAUUAGCUUACUCUGAACAUAAACCGAAAAAGGGAGUUAGCCUUUCUAACAGAACAGAGGGAUGCAUAAUUAAAAUGGGAUAAUUUUGAUGAUAAAAAAGAGGGAGCUUUACAAAAGGGAUUUCUCAUGUUCUUAUUUCAGACUCUAGAAAUUAAUUUGUGUUUAUUGCUGUUUUAUAGUUAUUCUUUAAUGGAUAUAUGACCGCCUAUAUAUGACUUAGUGUGCUUUAAUCAGCUUCAUUUUGACUACUUUUUGUGACUUACACCUUAUGCACAGGUGAUAUAUCCCUUAUGAAACUACCAAUUGGUGUACAGUGCAACUAAUUAAAGUGAGAACUUUUAAAAAUUAGGUUUGUAUACUAGACUCUUAAACUAUAAAUCAGGCAAAGUUAUGUUUAGUAGUACUUUGAUACUUCUGCCCAGCUUUCAGUAAUUAUUCACUGAAAGUAUUUUCACAUAAGGAAAUUUCAGUAAUGUAUGCUUUUGAAGUUUGAGAAGGCAGUGCCACACUUGGGGGUAGCAAAGUUGUGGUCCCCUACAACAUGAGGAUUUGCUUCCCCUCUCUCUUCCUCUCCCUGCUCCUAAUAAUAUCACUGUGGAAGUCAAUGUUUUUGCUUAUUUACUGCAGUGUAUAGUGUCACAAAUAUAGGUUGUAAGUUCACAAAACUUAGCUUUGGUGGUGUUGCUGGAAGCAGUCAUGCCCUGCUCUCACAAGCCUAAUUUAUACAGCCAUCCAGAGAGCUAGACUGUAAAUUUGACCUAGGUUAAAAUUAACCCAGCAGAACUGGGUUAAUGUUAACACUUAGUGGUCCCCUGAUCCAGACCGCAGUAUAAAUGCUUGUGGCAGUGGAAGGGACAAGCUAGAGGCCAGGCCAGGAGGGCCUGUGCCUGGCUGGGGCAGUACCUGUCAGAGGCAGUGCUGGGGAAAGGCUUGUGAACCUGCAGCCUCACCGUUUUCCUGUCUGGCCAUGCCAUUCCAGGGAUUUAAACAUAAUUGCUAGAGAUCAUGUUUCACCUGAGGUACGCAAAAGCACUGUUUUGCAUUUCAUCAGUGUACAGGGACAGGUGAGGUUCAUGUGGAAUGACCCUGUGUAUGAUACUGAAGUGGUUAAAUUACCUUAAUUUAAGUAAAACCUGAAGCAAUUUUAUAUGUAUUAAACAUGUUUUUAAAGUUUACAUGUCAUGUGUAUGUGCUUGGCUGGAUUAAGCUUUGUUGUGAUUGUGACAAAUAAGCUGUUUGACCUCUGUCGUCUUACCACAUUAGUUUAGUCAUAAUAAAUGUCCAUUUUUACAUCA